This 428-nucleotide ribosomal RNA is filed under the name uncultured bacterium. RNAcentral's name for it is "bacterial SSU rRNA". It matches the Rfam family "Bacterial small subunit ribosomal RNA", at positions 355 to 775 of the family's 1533-position model. The record is from RNAcentral.
UGGGGAAUAUUGGACAAUGGGCGCAAGCCUGAUCCAGCAAUGCCGCGUGUGUGAAGAAGGCCUUCGGGUUGUAAAGCACUUUUAUCAGGAACGAAAUACCACGGGUUAAUAAUCUAUGGGGCUGACGGUACCUGAGGAAUAAGCACCGGCUAACUUCGUGCCAGCAGCCGCGGUAAUACGAAGGGUGCAAGCGUUAAUCGGAAUUACUGGGCGUAAAGGGUGCGUAGGCGGUUAUUUAAGUCUGCCGUGAAAUCCCCGGGCUCAACCUGGGAAUGGCGGUGGAUACUGGAUAGCUAGAGUGUGUCAGAGGAUGGUGGAAUUCCCGGUGUAGCGGUGAAAUGCGUAGAGAUCGGGAGGAACAUCAGUGGCGAAGGCGGCCAUCUGGGACAACACUGACGCUGAAGCACGAAAGCGUGGGGAGCAAACAG